Molecule: ribosomal RNA, 253 nt
Filed under: uncultured bacterium
Lineage: Bacteria
Description: partial 16S ribosomal RNA
Rfam family: Bacterial small subunit ribosomal RNA
Source: RNAcentral
UACAGAGGGUGCAAGCGUUGUUCGGAAUUAUUGGGCGUAAAGCGCGUGUAGGCGGCUUUGCAAGUCGGGUGUGAAAUCCCUCAGCUCAACUGAGGAAGUGCGCCCGAAACUGCAUGGCUCGAGUACCGGAGAGGAUGGUGGAAUUCCCCAAGUAGAGGUGAAAUUCGUAGAUAUGGGGAGGAACACCGGUGGCGAAGGCGACCAUCUGGACGGAUACUGACGCUGAGACGCGAAAGCGUGGGUAGCAAACAGG